This 575-nucleotide ribosomal RNA is filed under the name Colletotrichum sp. ITCC 4573. Its description in RNAcentral is "eukaryotic LSU rRNA". The stretch from base 215 to 368 matches the Rfam family "5.8S ribosomal RNA". The record is from RNAcentral. Lineage: Eukaryota; Fungi; Ascomycota; Sordariomycetes; Glomerellales; Glomerellaceae.
CGUAACAAGGUCUCCGUUGGUGAACCAGCGGAGGGAUCAUUACUGAGUUUACGCUCUACAACCCUUUGUGAACAUACCUAUAACUGUUGCUUCGGCGGGUAGGGUCUCCGUGACCCUCCCGGCCUCCCGCCCCCGGGCGGGUCGGCGCCCGCCGGAGGAUAACCAAACUCUGAUUUAACGACGUUUCUUCUGAGUGGUACAAGCAAAUAAUCAAAACUUUUAACAACGGAUCUCUUGGUUCUGGCAUCGAUGAAGAACGCAGCGAAAUGCGAUAAGUAAUGUGAAUUGCAGAAUUCAGUGAAUCAUCGAAUCUUUGAACGCACAUUGCGCCCGCCAGCAUUCUGGCGGGCAUGCCUGUUCGAGCGUCAUUUCAACCCUCAAGCUCUGCUUGGUGUUGGGGCCCUACAGCUGAUGUAGGCCCUCAAAGGUAGUGGCGGACCCUCCCGGAGCCUCCUUUGCGUAGUAACUUUACGUCUCGCACUGGGAUCCGGAGGGACUCUUGCCGUAAAACCCCCAAUUUUCCAAAGGUUGACCUCGGAUCAGGUAGGAAUACCCGCUGAACUUAAGCAUAUCAA